UUUAGUACAAGUGUUUAUUGUCCUUUCCCCAAGGGCACAUCCAAACCAGGCUCCAGCCCCUAAUGAGGUUAGUUCACAUGCGUUGAACACCAGCUCUUCUACCAGUACCGUUACAGCCAAACAUUAAAAGCACCCUCCCCCCCCCCAAUAUUCCCUGGAAGGAAGUUUCCAACAGGGAGUAAUGCAGUCACACGGAACACGGGUUAGGGCACUGGAGGGAAUAUACAGGUUAUCUUUAAAAGACACAGUGAGUUGCUGCUACCAAGACCCUGGGGCUCGCCCAAGGGACAGCCUGGCUACCCCGGCUGUUAGGCAAAGCAGGGAUGAGGGGAUGGAUAACCACAACCAGCAGCACAGGAGGCUGCUAACUGCAGGGAGAUAAGGGUUAAGGGAUAAGUCUUUGCUCUCCAGAGCAGACCGUACCGAAAUAGGCAGCCAGAAAAGAUCCAUUUCAGCUCAUGCUGGUUCCUCCUGGCUCCUUGAAGCCCUGGCAGGACCAUGCCCUCCCCAGGACCACAUCCUGUCCCAGGGAUGUUCCUAUCCCUCUCCCAGGGAGUUUGUGGCUGUCCUGCAGAAGGAGGGGAGCCUACCCCAGCCCACCAGGCAGCAGCGAGGGGGACAAGGGGAGCCGGCUCCAUCCAUGAGGAGCAGGAGCUGGGAUCACUAGUGGUUGGUGCUGCAUUGCUACGGGAGCGAAGGAGCCACCCAUGGUCCCAGGCUGGGUGCUCCAGGGAGCUGGAGAAGGCUCCAUUCCACGGCAUAAAACAUCCCCGAGCGGGGAGGGAGCCGACAUGAGGGUGUGAAGCAUCCCCAACCUUCCCGGUGUUUGGCCCUGGAGCCACUGUCAGCCAUAAGGAAGGAAGACUUGAGAUGGAGAAGGAGCUGCCAAGGGGGAGAGGAGGGUGCAGGGAGCCCGGGGGCCUCCCCACUGCCGGGGCUCAUCCUCCAGCCAUUGCCGGCUUUCCCACCACGUCUGUCCCAGGUCUCUUUGGUUUCCCACCACCGGAACGCCGGUGGCGCCGUCUCCUCCUGCCGGGAGCCGUGUGGGCCGAGCCUUAGGCCGGGACCUCGGUGCUGUGGGGCCGGACGUGCUCAUCGGUGACCGACAGGUAGGUGGCUCGCAUGCUCGGGGAGAGAGCCUCUGCCGAUGAGGGGCACGUUCUCAUAGCGCGGGUUUCCACCGAAGAGCACGGCUUGGUUCCUGAGAGGGGAGAGCCCGUCAGUGAGACCCCCCCGUCCCCCUGCACCCGGUGCGGGUGAUGCUCCAUCCCCAAGGUGUGGGGUACCCAAAGGUGCGAGGGGGGGGUCUCACAUGUACUCGGAGACGGGCGCGUUGGAGAUGGUCUGUGCCGGCGGGUGCAGGCUGCUCUGGCUGCCCAGGCUGCUGCUGUAGCUGCAGAAGCUGCGGAGCUGCCCGCGGGCCGGGUUGUGGCUGGCGAUGCGCCGCGCCUGCGGGUUGAAGGGGUCCUCAUCGUCCAUGUCAUCAUAGUCCCGGUCCCUGCGGGGACAAGGCAGCGGGGAUCACCCCCUGUCCCAAAGGCAGCUCCCCCCGUGCCCAGCUCACGCCCCAGUGAAGGCAGGGCUGCGGCAGACCCACCGUCCGGUGAAGAGCUUCCACGCGCGCGGUGUGGCGCAGAUGAUGGUGGAGAAGGAGGCGGCCACCAGCAAGGAGAAGAGGACCAGGUAGAGCAAACCCUCCACCCCAUCAUAGCAGAUGCCAAUGAGGGCGUCCAGGUAGUCCU
Long non-coding RNA from Strigops habroptila (Kakapo), 1742 nucleotides. The record is from Ensembl. Lineage: Eukaryota; Metazoa; Chordata; Aves; Psittaciformes; Psittacidae.